RNAcentral lists this ribosomal RNA (301 nucleotides) under uncultured bacterium. RNAcentral's name for it is "partial 16S ribosomal RNA". It matches the Rfam family "Bacterial small subunit ribosomal RNA", at positions 509 to 807 of the family's 1533-position model. The record is from RNAcentral.
CAGUCGCCACGGUAAAACGAAGGGGGCUAGCGUUGCUCGGAAUGACUGGGCGUAAAGGGCGCGUAGGCGGCGGCCAAAGUCAGGCGUGAAAUUCCUGGGCUCAACCUGGGGGCUGCGCUUGAUACUUGGUUGCUUGAGUGGGGAAGAGGGUCGUGGAAUUCCCAGUGUAGAGGUGAAAUUCGUAGAUAUUGGGAAGAACACCGGUGGCGAAGGCGGCGACCUGGUCCUUUACUGACGCUGAGGCGCGAAAGCGUGGGGAGCAAACAGGAUUAGAUACCCCAGUAGUCCCUGUCUCUUAUAC